GAAAUACUCCCUCCGUCCGGAAAUAGUUGUCCUACAAAUUGAUAAAAUGGAUGUAUCUAUAACUAAAAUAAGUCUAGAUACAAUCAUUUCUAGGACAAGUAUUUUCGGACGGAGGGAGUACUAA
Non-coding RNA from Triticum aestivum (bread wheat), 124 nucleotides. Lineage: Eukaryota; Viridiplantae; Streptophyta; Magnoliopsida; Poales; Poaceae. The record is from Rfam.